Molecule: long non-coding RNA, 1826 nt
Organism: Gallus gallus (chicken)
Lineage: Eukaryota; Metazoa; Chordata; Aves; Galliformes; Phasianidae
Source: Ensembl
GAACUCACUUUUAGGCUGAAGAACGAGGCUGAGUCUUGAGGUGCUUAAAAGAUUGGUUGAGUAAAUUACAACACUUAGCCGAGCUUUCCUCUGACUGCCACAAUCCUCAGCACGUGCAAGGUCAGAUCUUCACUGCAGAGGAAACCCAUUUAGCAACAUGCUAAUUUCCUUCAAGGAAAGAGAUUACUGAUCACAGUAGAUUUCUACAGCAGCCUGCCUACUAUCAGGGACCUGGAGAGAUGAAGGCUGAAGACACCAUAUGGAUAUCCCAUAAUGUACCUUGUGGGGGUGAUCCAGCCAAGCCAUGUGCUUCUUGAGCAAUGUCUUGUACCUAUGCCACCAAUGGUCUAUUAAUUUGCUGCAAGUCAGGGUUCCUUACCACCAUGUCUGCAGCUGGGGCGCUUGGGUCCAAGAAGAAGUUUGAAAUUAAGGCAUCAUGUGGUGACAUUGCCUCCUGCUACACAGCAAAUCUUUCUUUUCUGGUAGAAAUCUGCUCAUAACUUUCCACAUGAGCUUCCAAGGAAAGUAUUUCUGUUCUCUGAUUAGUGACUCUUCCACUUCAAAUACACAGUUGCUGGGGCUGGAAGCUGGUUGUUGGUGAAUCUGUACAUCCUUGCUGGAACAUUUGUCCCUCUCUUGUCCUGUCUGGGUACAUGCUGGAAAAUGCUGUGUCACCAGUCUGAGUGCCUGCAGAAACCAAGACACAAAGGAGCAGGUGUGAGAUACCAACCCUGUCCUGCACCCAAAAAAUCUGAAACAUCACAAAAGGUUUGCCCCGUGCUGUGUGUUGAGAGUUGCUUCAGUUUUGGCUGUGGUCCUCUGGGCAGUGCUUUUCUCCACAGAAUUUUUUUGCAUUAUCUACUUAUUUUCCUUAUUAUGAAUAACUGGUUGAGUAUUUAUGUUGCUUGUGGUACUCUACAUUCACAGUAAAAAGAGGAAAACAACAGACUUGAUGGAGUGGGACAAAGGUCUGGUGCCUGUAGUGAGAGUUCUGAACUUCUUAUUUUUUGAGAAAGACUUUAAUUACAUAUGUGUGAGCAUGUGUGAAUGUGUGAGGAAGAGAGGAAGCCUAGUACAGUUUAAAUGCUGUCAGAUGUUUUACAGCUUUGAUAUUGUUUUUUGCUUUUUAGUUUUUUUACUACAAAGGCAUAUAAAAUCAAGUGCCAUUUAGGCACAGGAUUUACAGUUACUUUAGUAUAUACCCUGAAAAUAUGCGUAUCUACAGGGGAUAGUAGUUCGUGGAGAAAACAAGUUAGUGCUGAGAAGUUCAAUUAUUCUCCUGAAAUAUCAAUAAUGUAGCUGGAAGAAAGAAAAAACAACAGGCCACUUCCUAUAUUGGAUGUAUUCUCAAAAUGUCUAUAAAGGCUUGCUGCCAGCAGCAAGAAAGUAAUAACUAUAAAUGUUGCUCAGUGGGAGGACUUAGUGAUAGAGCCCCUCUGUUUGAAAAUUUACCGAAGCCCUGUCAACACAGUGCUAACUUCCAUGGUUUUGCAUUUUGAUUUUGAUUAUUAUUUCUAUUAUUCUUGGCAGGUGCACGGGUUGGUAGGUGAACUCAGGGUCUCCCUCCUGGCUUGGCUCUCUGUCUUUUCAAGUCACUCGAUAUAAACUUGUAGUUUUCUGGCCCUGAGCUCUAAUGAAAUUCAUUUUAAAUAUACUGUUCUUGAUGGUCCCUAUAGCACACUUUGAGUACCUGUUGGAUCCUCUUAAAGAAAGCUUAAGUGUCAGAGUGAGCAGUGUAAUUGUGUUCUUUAAAUAAUUAACAAACUGUUUCUGCAAUUCCUUUUAAUUGACAGUUAGGGUUGAAUUCUUUAAUUAAAAAAAAAAAA